RNAcentral lists this ribosomal RNA (819 nucleotides) under Priestia aryabhattai. RNAcentral's name for it is "bacterial SSU rRNA". It matches the Rfam family "Bacterial small subunit ribosomal RNA", at positions 73 to 874 of the family's 1533-position model. Lineage: Bacteria; Bacillati; Bacillota; Bacilli; Caryophanales; Bacillaceae. The record is from RNAcentral.
UAGAAGCUUGCUUCUAUGACGUUAGCGGCGGACGGGUGAGUAACACGUGGGCAACCUGCCUGUAAGACUGGGAUAACUUCGGGAAACCGAAGCUAAUACCGGAUAGGAUCUUCUCCUUCAUGGGAGAUGAUUGAAAGAUGGUUUCGGCUAUCACUUACAGAUGGGCCCGCGGUGCAUUAGCUAGUUGGUGAGGUAACGGCUCACCAAGGCAACGAUGCAUAGCCGACCUGAGAGGGUGAUCGGCCACACUGGGACUGAGACACGGCCCAGACUCCUACGGGAGGCAGCAGUAGGGAAUCUUCCGCAAUGGACGAAAGUCUGACGGAGCAACGCCGCGUGAGUGAUGAAGGCUUUCGGGUCGUAAAACUCUGUUGUUAGGGAAGAACAAGUACGAGAGUAACUGCUUGUACCUUGACGGUACCUAACCAGAAAGCCACGGCUAACUACGUGCCAGCAGCCGCGGUAAUACGUAGGUGGCAAGCGUUAUCCGGAAUUAUUGGGCGUAAAGCGCGCGCAGGCGGUUUCUUAAGUCUGAUGUGAAAGCCCACGGCUCAACCGUGGAGGGUCAUUGGAAACUGGGGAACUUGAGUGCAGAAGAGAAAAGCGGAAUUCCACGUGUAGCGGUGAAAUGCGUAGAGAUGUGGAGGAACACCAGUGGCGAAGGCGGCUUUUUGGUCUGUAACUGACGCUGAGGCGCGAAAGCGUGGGGGAGCAAACAGGAUUAGAUACCCUGGUAGUCCACGCCGUAAACGAUGAGUGCUAAGUGUUAGAGGGUUUCCGCCCUUUAGUGCUGCAGCUAACGCAUUAAGCACUCCGCCU